AAACAAUGAUGAACACAUUAUCCCGAAUCUGAGCCUUUUUGAUGAUAUCACACUACGGAUCUGACUGCUGAGUU
Paramisgurnus dabryanus is the source of this 74-nucleotide non-coding RNA. The record is from RefSeq and is a predicted model, not a curated record. Lineage: Eukaryota; Metazoa; Chordata; Actinopteri; Cypriniformes; Cobitidae.